This is an RNA transcript of Syzygium oleosum, 1543 nucleotides long. RefSeq lists it as uncharacterized. The transcript is spliced from 3 exons. The record is from RefSeq and is a predicted model, not a curated record. NCBI's taxonomy places the organism in Eukaryota, Viridiplantae, Streptophyta, Magnoliopsida, Myrtales, Myrtaceae.
AUUCUCUCUCUCUCUCUUCUUUCUCUCUCUCUCUCUAGAAAGGGAUCGCUACCUGCCCGAUCAGCAAUAGCUCGCUCGCUUCCUUCGCGGGUUUCUCUCUCUACUCCCUCUCCAUGGCUUCUGCCUCGAAGCACAACCACCCUUCCUCCUCCUCCUCCUCAAAGCCACCCCUCAAGAACCCUAAUUUCCCCCAAUCGGACCCCAGAACCCCGCCGCCCCCACGCCGUCGCCUCCACCAGCGGCGGCGGCGGCGGCGGGCCCUGGCGCCGGGGCGCGAGGACUCGGCCCUCGCCCGCGCCUCCCACCUCACGCGCCCGGAGGUGCUGCGGCGGCGGUCGCGCCGACUCAGGCAGCUCUCGCGGUGCUACCGGGACCACUACUGGGCGCUCAUGGAGGAGUUCAAGGUGCAGUACCGGGAUUUCUACUGGAAGUACGGGGAGAGCCCCUUCAAGGAGGAGAAUCAGCGGGUGGAGGCGGACGGGUCGGAGCGGGACGGGCCGAACGGGGAAGGCAUCGGGGAGAACGUCGGGAACAGUGUCGUGGGUAGGAUCGAGUUCGAGGCGAGGGGCAAUAAUCAUAGGUGCGCGUUCGUCGGGUGUAAGUUGAAGGCCAUGGCUUUGACGAGCUUUUGCCAUUUGCAUAUAUUGUCCGAUUCGAAGCAGAAGCUCUACAAGGCUUGCAGCUAUGUCAUCAAAAGUGCUCAGGCGGGACCAAUAACAUGUGGGAAGCCAAUACUGAGAUCCACCGUUCCUUCUCUUUGUACCAUCCACUUCCAGAAAGCUCAAAAGCACGUCACCCGGGCUUUGAAGAAGGCAGGACUUAAUGUUACUUCAUCUAGUAAACUUGCUCCAAAAUUCCAUGUCAUAGUGGCAGAAUAUGUGCGGCAAAUUCAAGCCAAAAGAAGGGCUGCACAGAGGGCCAAUACUAGUGAAGUUGUGGUUAAGGAAGAGACCAUGAGCUGAGUCUCUAUUGCCAGUGACUGCAAAUCAGAAAUUGUUGCAUGAGUGCAUGAGUUUGUAGGCACAAGACAAACCUGAGGUGGUUUGUGGGAACUGAAACAGAUGGAAGUUGUACAUGUUGCAGUCUUGAGGCACUUUCCUCAGUGCAAGAGCUUGUUGAGAGAUGUUGUCUUCUCGGCUAGUCCAUAUGUAUUUUCUUUGCAAGUGUCCCAUGCGAUCGUGUCUUUAUAUUAAAUGUCCAACGAUGUUUAGUUGCAAAUUUUAGUCGGGCCUUCUUACUUCAAUGUACGCUGUACAGCCACAGAAUAUGUGAACACCCUACUCUCUUUGGGCGUGGCCGAGCGCUGUGUUUUUGACUUUCUUGUAGACAUUCUUGCUACACAUGUAUGCUCUCCCCUGAUAUGUUUUGGUCCUUGUCACCUUUGUUGUCAUAUAUAACAGUAUGAGAUGGACGCGUCGGUUCACUUUCGGAUAAAUCAGCUUCUCGACAUUUGUAGAAGAUGGGAUGAACUCAUGUCACGAGACGUGGUGACGCUAAUUUGUAAAGUUAAUCAGGUAUAGAGUAUGACGCCUAAUAGGUCAAA